GAACCAGUUGAAGCAGCAGCAUGAUUUUUUGAUCCCUGAAGACUGUAUUGGCUUUCUGAAUUUCCCAUUUUCCACUGUAGAAUCUCUCUCUCAAACGUAGGUGUGGUUAUCAGUUAGCAUCUUUUGCAUUGUCUUUGUGGCCAGCCACUACACUUGCCAAAAAAGCAGGAUGGAGAUGAAUGCAAGCUUUCUUGCAUAAUUAUUUGCUCUCUGCAUGCCUUUCUUCUCACUGCAUCUUGGAGCAGAAGCACAAGGGUGGGAUGUAUUCCUAACACUGCCCUUGUUGCUCCAUGAACUGAAGAAUUUUUUGCUGGAAGUCUCUGUUUUCUUAGCGUUGGCAAUCUGCCCGCGGGUGCGGAGCGCCGCAGCCCCCGAGGACUUUGUCCCCGCGGCGCGCCCAGCUCCCGGAGGAGAAG
This 416-nucleotide long non-coding RNA is filed under the name Gallus gallus (chicken). The record is from RNAcentral. Lineage: Eukaryota; Metazoa; Chordata; Aves; Galliformes; Phasianidae.